This 217-nucleotide small RNA is filed under the name Emiliania huxleyi. RNAcentral describes it as "partial transfer-messenger RNA". It matches the Rfam family "transfer-messenger RNA", at positions 1 to 207 of the family's 374-position model. Rfam says of the family: Bacterial tmRNA, also known as 10Sa RNA or SsrA, is named for its dual tRNA and mRNA-like properties. Its role is to liberate the mRNA from a stalled ribosome. Lineage: Eukaryota; Haptophyta; Isochrysidales; Noelaerhabdaceae. The record is from RNAcentral.
GGGGGCGACAUGGUUUCGACGCUGAUGACAACCCCUGAGGUGCAUGCCGAGAGCGUGAUGUAUCUCGUAAAUCCAACAUCACGAUUAAAUAGUCGCAAACGACGAAAACUACGCUCAGGGCGCGCUGGCAGCGUAAAAACUGCUAGCUUCUAGUCCUACCCGGCGGCGACGUGCUCAUCCGUUGCCAAUGGGCUACGAGCCAAGAUAGGUGAGAUCG